RNAcentral lists this unclassified non-coding RNA (300 nucleotides) under plant metagenome. Its description in RNAcentral is "partial contains small subunit ribosomal RNA, internal transcribed spacer 1, and 5.8S ribosomal RNA". The record is from RNAcentral.
UUUCCGUAGGUGAACCUGCGGAAGGAUCAUUAUUGAAUAAACCUGAUGUGGCUGUUAGCUGGCUUUUCGAAGCAUGUGCUCGUCCGUCAUCUUUAUCUCUCCACCUGUGCACAUUUUGUAGUCUUGGAUACCUCUCGAGGCAACUCGGAUUUUAGGGUCGCUGUGCUGUACAAGUCGGCUUUCCUUCCAUCUCCAAGACUAUGUUUUUAUAUACACCAAAGUAUGUUUAAAGAAUGUCAUCAAUAGGAACUUGUUUCCUAUAUAAUUAUACAACUUUCAGCAACGGAUCUCUUGGCUCUC